This 1228-nucleotide unclassified non-coding RNA is filed under the name Hevea brasiliensis (rubber tree). Lineage: Eukaryota; Viridiplantae; Streptophyta; Magnoliopsida; Malpighiales; Euphorbiaceae. The record is from RNAcentral.
UUUGAAGACAAAUGCCCAUAUUUAACAGCGAAUUUAGAUAUAAAAAAUACUUCGGCUCCUCAUGUAAAGGCGUCAUAUGUACAUAUUAUGGAAAGGAGAAACAAGAUAUGAGUGCCAAGUGACAACAUCAUUUACACUUUUUUUUUACAUCAUUUACACUUUUUUUUUUCUGGAUUUUAAUACAAACCUUAUUGAUUGGAAAUUCUCUUUCCAAUUAUCCUCUCCCUCAGUUUUUCCUAAUUAAACAAGUUCCUGGUGUGGAGCUACAUGAGGCCCUGAUGCUAUUGUGAAAUGCAGACCCCUUCGAUGGCCUGAUUGGAGCACAAAAGCAACUUGUGUUGCUGCCAGUUCUGCAGCCUCCUGUCUUUGUCUCCGCUGCUGCAAGAUACUGAUGGCCCAUGCCAUGAUGUAACAGGGUAAAAGAAAACCAGCUGCUCGUAGCAAGAAAAGAGAGAAAAAGGUAGACACAUCAUCAUCAUCUCCAUCAGCAUCUGUAACAAUCAAUGCAUGCCGCACGAGUAGAAGGGCCAUUAACUAAUAAGAAAAAAAACAGUAAGCAUCGAAAGCAAAUCCAAAUUAUAUAAGAAAAAACAUUAGUAAGAGAACUUGUAACGAGGUAUCGUAGGUGGCAUGUCCAGGUGUCCAACAUCUCCAAAGUAUAGAUUAAGUAGGUUUUCCCUCAAAUGCUAAAAUAUCAAACGUCAUUAGUUAUUGUGAAAACAUAAUCAUUUUGUAGAAGAAAAUAAAACUUCCAAGCUAAGGACAACCAUAAUGGUAAAACAAAUAACUUUCUUCAUUUAAUCAAGCCUGCCAUUCAAUAUUAUCCUUAGCCUUCCUCAUUCCAUAAAAGAAAUGACAUAUUGGUCUGAUCAGCAUGCAGCAGAAACACAAAAUUUACAGUUACAUGUCAAAGUUCUACAUAAUUAUGAGGGUGAAUUUGUGAAUCAAAAGGCAUACGAUUAGAGCAGCUGAACGGCAAAAUGUGGCUCCACUAGCAUUUGAAGCAGCAUAAUCAUCAUACUCAGCUUCCAGAAAAUGACGUUCUGCUUCUGCAAUUGCCAAAAGGCGAGGAUCACGCAGAUCCAGAGGAGUGCCAGAGAUGGUCCAGCCUCCACCAAUAUCAAUAGCAGUGUCUUCAGGACGAGGUGGACGAGGUGGAGCAGUAUAACCAGGUUGAUAAGGCUGGUGACAUAUCUCACAAGUGAUAUCCCCUUUCUCAUUACACCAA